GAGGAAAGUCCGGGCAACACAGAGCAUCCUACUUCUUAACGGGAAGCUAUCUGCGAAGGUAGAGUAAUGUAGAAGAAAACAACCGCCUUUUUCCUCUUUUGGAACAAGGUAAGGGUGAGAAGGUGGAGUAAGAGCCCACCAGUUGCGUGGUGACACGGUUAAGCUGUACGUCUUAGGAGUUGUAAGGUCGAUGUAUACCGGCAUUAUGAGGGCUGCUCGCCCCACGUCGGAGGGUAGACCGCUAAAGUAAUGUGGCAACACAUUACUCAGAUAAAUGACAAACACCUUAAUUUAUUAUUAAGGACAGAACCCGGCUUA
RNAcentral lists this RNase P RNA (318 nucleotides) under unidentified eubacterium clone ESH30-3. RNAcentral describes it as "partial ribonuclease P RNA". It matches the Rfam family "Bacterial RNase P class A", at positions 43 to 351 of the family's 367-position model. From Rfam's summary of the family: Ribonuclease P (RNase P) is a ubiquitous endoribonuclease, found in archaea, bacteria and eukarya as well as chloroplasts and mitochondria. Its best characterised activity is the generation of mature 5'-ends of tRNAs by cleaving the 5'-leader elements of precursor-tRNAs. Cellular RNase Ps are ribonucleoproteins. Lineage: Bacteria; Pseudomonadati; Bacteroidota. The record is from RNAcentral.